GGGUUGUGAGGUUAAGCGACUAAGCGUACACGGUGGAUGCCCUGGCAGUCAGAGGCGAUGAAGGACGUGCUAAUCUGCGAUAAGCGUCGGUAAGGUGAUAUGAACCGUUAUAACCGGCGAUUUCCGAAUGGGGAAACCCAGUGUGUUUCGACACACUAUCAUUAACUGAAUCCAUAGGUUAAUGAGGCGAACCGGGGGAACUGAAACAUCUAAGUACCCCGAGGAAAAGAAAUCAACCGAGAUUCCCCCAGUAGCGGCGAGCGAACGGGGAGGAGCCCAGAGCCUGAAUCAGUGUGUGUGUUAGUGGAAGCGUCUGGAAAGGCGCGCGAUACAGGGUGACAGCCCCGUACACAAAAAUGCACAUGCUGUGAGCUCGAUGAGUAGGGCGGGACACGUGGUAUCCUGUCUGAAUAUGGGGGGACCAUCCUCCAAGGCUAAAUACUCCUGACUGACCGAUAGUGAACCAGUACCGUGAGGGAAAGGCGAAAAGAACCCCGGCGAGGGGAGUGAAAAAGAACCUGAAACCGUGUACGUACAAGCAGUGGGAGCACAGAGCAAUCUGUGUGACUGCGUACCUUUUGUAUAAUGGGUCAGCGACUUAUAUUCUGUAGCAAGGUUAACCGAAUAGGGGAGCCGAAGGGAAACCGAGUCUUAACUGGGCGUUAAGUUGCAGGGUAUAGACCCGAAACCCGGUGAUCUAGCCAUGGGCAGGUUGAAGGUUGGGUAACACUAACUGGAGGACCGAACCGACUAAUGUUGAAAAAUUAGCGGAUGACUUGUGGCUGGGGUAGAAAAGCCAAUCAAACCGGGAGAUAGCUGGUUCUCUACGAGAGCUAAUUAGGUAGCGCCUCGUGAAUUCAUCUCCGGGGUAGAGCACUGUUUCGGCAAGGGGGUCAUCCCGACUUACCAACCCGAUGCAAACUGCGAAUACCGGAGAAUGUUAUCACGGGAGACACACGGCGGGUGCUAACGUCCGUCGUGAAGAGGGAAACAACCCAGACCGCCAGCUAAGGUCCCAAAGUCAUGGUUAAGUGGGAAACGAUGUGGGAAGGCCCAGACAGCCAGGAUGUUGGCUUAGAAGCAGCCAUCAUUUAAAGAAAGCGUAAUAGCUCACUGGUCGAGUCGGCCUGCGCGGAAGAUGUAACGGGGCUAAACCAUGCACCGAAGCUGCGGCAGCGACACUGUGUGUUGUUGGGUAGGGGAGCGUUCUGUAAGCCUGUGAAGGUGUGCUGUGAGGUAUGCUGGAGGUAUCAGAAGUGCGAAUGCUGACAUAAGUAACGAUAAAGCGGGUGAAAAGCCCGCUCGCCGGAAGACCAAGGGUUCCUGUCCAACGUUAAUCGGGGCAGGGUGAGUCGACCCCUAAGGCGAGGCCGAAAGGCGUAGUCGAUGGGAAACAGGUUAAUAUUCCUGUACUUGGUGUUACUGCGAAGGGGGGACGGAGAAGGCUAUGUUGGCCGGGCGACGGUUGUCCCGGUUUAAGCGUGUAGGCUGGUUUUCCAGGCAAAUCCGGAAAAUCAAGGCUGAGGCGUGAUGACGAGGCACUACGGUGCUGAAGCAACAAAUGCCCUGCUUCCAGGAAAAGCCUCUAAGCAUCAGGUAACAUCAAAUCGUACCCCAAACCGACACAGGUGGUCAGGUAGAGAAUACCAAGGCGCUUGAGAGAACUCGGGUGAAGGAACUAGGCAAAAUGGUGCCGUAACUUCGGGAGAAGGCACGCUGAUAUGUAGGUGAAGUCCCUCGCGGAUGGAGCUGAAAUCAGUCGAAGAUACCAGCUGGCUGCAACUGUUUAUUAAAAACACAGCACUGUGCAAACACGAAAGUGGACGUAUACGGUGUGACGCCUGCCCGGUGCCGGAAGGUUAAUUGAUGGGGUUAGCGCAAGCGAAGCUCUUGAUCGAAGCCCCGGUAAACGGCGGCCGUAACUAUAACGGUCCUAAGGUAGCGAAAUUCCUUGUCGGGUAAGUUCCGACCUGCACGAAUGGCGUAAUGAUGGCCAGGCUGUCUCCACCCGAGACUCAGUGAAAUUGAACUCGCUGUGAAGAUGCAGUGUACCCGCGGCAAGACGGAAAGACCCCGUGAACCUUUACUAUAGCUUGACACUGAACAUUGAGCCUUGAUGUGUAGGAUAGGUGGGAGGCUUUGAAGUGUGGACGCCAGUCUGCAUGGAGCCGACCUUGAAAUACCACCCUUUAAUGUUUGAUGUUCUAACGUGGACCCGUGAUCCGGGUUGCGGACAGUGUCUGGUGGGUAGUUUGACUGGGCGGUCUCCUCCUAAAGAGUAACGGAGGAGCACGAAGGUUGGCUAAUCCUGGUCGGACAUCAGGAGGUUAGUGCAAUGGCAUAAGCCAGCUUGACUGCGAGCGUGACGGCGCGAGCAGGUGCGAAAGCAGGUCAUAGUGAUCCGGUGGUUCUGAAUGGAAGGGCCAUCGCUCAACGGAUAAAAGGUACUCCGGGGAUAACAGGCUGAUACCGCCCAAGAGUUCAUAUCGACGGCGGUGUUUGGCACCUCGAUGUCGGCUCAUCACAUCCUGGGGCUGAAGUAGGUCCCAAGGGUAUGGCUGUUCGCCAUUUAAAGUGGUACGCGAGCUGGGUUUAGAACGUCGUGAGACAGUUCGGUCCCUAUCUGCCGUGGGCGCUGGAGAACUGAGGGGGGCUGCUCCUAGUACGAGAGGACCGGAGUGGACGCAUCACUGGUGUUCGGGUUGUCAUGCCAAUGGCACUGCCCGGUAGCUAAAUGCGGAAGAGAUAAGUGCUGAAAGCAUCUAAGCACGAAACUUGCCCCGAGAUGAGUUCUCCCUGACCCUUUAAGGGUCCUGAAGGAACGUUGAAGACGACGACGUUGAUAGGCCGGGUGUGUAAGCGCAGCGAUGCGUUGAGCUAACCGGUACUAAUGAACCGUGAGGCUUAACCUUACAACGCCGAAGGUGUUU
Molecule: ribosomal RNA, 2930 nt
Filed under: Escherichia coli O157:H-
Lineage: Bacteria; Pseudomonadati; Pseudomonadota; Gammaproteobacteria; Enterobacterales; Enterobacteriaceae
Description: 23S ribosomal RNA
Rfam family: Bacterial large subunit ribosomal RNA
Source: RNAcentral